GGGCCGUUAGCUCAACUGGCAGAGCAAGGGGCUUUUAACCCCUAGGUUCUGGGUUCGAGUCCCAGGCGGCCCA
RNAcentral lists this transfer RNA (73 nucleotides) under Actinomycetota bacterium. Its description in RNAcentral is "tRNA-Lys". It matches the Rfam family "tRNA". From Rfam's summary of the family: Transfer RNA (tRNA) molecules are approximately 80 nucleotides in length. Their secondary structure includes four short double-helical elements and three loops (D, anti-codon, and T loops). Lineage: Bacteria; Bacillati; Actinomycetota. The record is from RNAcentral.